This 61-nucleotide ribosomal RNA is filed under the name uncultured bacterium. RNAcentral's name for it is "partial 16S ribosomal RNA". The record is from RNAcentral.
GAGGACGGACCGAGCCACACUGGGACUGAGACACGGCCCAGACUCCUACGGAAGGCAGCAG